AUUGAACGCUGGCGGCAGGCCUAACACAUGCAAGUCGAACGGUAGCACAGAGAGCUUGCUCUCGGGUGACGAGUGGCGGACGGGUGAGUAACGUCUGGGAAACUGCCCAAUGGAGGGGGAUAACUACUGGAAACGGUAGCUAAUACCGCAUAACGUCGCAAGACCAAAGUGGGGGACCUUCGGGCCUCACACCAUCGGAUGUGCCCAGACGGGGUUAGGUCGUAGGUGGGGUAAUGGCUCACCUAGGCGACGAUCCCUAGCUGGUCUGAGAGGAUGAACAGCCACACUGGAACUGAGACACGGUCCAGACUCCUACGGGAGGCAGCAGUGGGGAAUAUUGCACAAUGGGCGCAAGACUGAUGAAGCCAUGCCGCGUGUAUGAAGAAGGCCUUCGGGUUGUAAAGUACUUUCAGCGGGGAGGAAGGCGGUGAAGUUAAUAACUUUACCGAUUGACGUUACCCGCAGAAGAAGCACCAGCUAACUCCGUGCCAGCCGCCGCGGUAA
RNAcentral lists this ribosomal RNA (504 nucleotides) under uncultured bacterium. Its description in RNAcentral is "partial 16S ribosomal RNA". It matches the Rfam family "Bacterial small subunit ribosomal RNA", at positions 30 to 523 of the family's 1533-position model. The record is from RNAcentral.